UAAGGAAUAUUGCUCAAUGGGAGAAAUCCUGAAGCAGCAACGCCGCGUGGAGGAUGAAGGGUCUAUGACUUGUAAACUCCUGUAAAGAAGGAAAAAAUUCCCAUUUGAUGGGAGAUGAUGGUACUUCUGGAGUAAGCCCCGGCUAACUACGUGCCAGCAGCCGCGGUAAUACGUAGGGGACAAGCGUUGUCCGGAUUUACUGGGUGUAAAGGGUGCUCAGGCGGAUUUGUAAGUCAGAGGUGAAAUCUUACAGCUUAACUGUGAAACUGCCUUUGAUACUGCAAGCCUAGAGUAUGGAAGAGAGUGAUGGAAUAUCUGGUGUAGCAGUGAAAUGCGUAGAUAUCAGAUAGAACACCAAUGGCGAAGGCAGUCACUUGGUCCAUUACUGACGCUAAAGCACGAAAGCGUGGGUAGCAAACA
This 420-nucleotide ribosomal RNA is filed under the name uncultured bacterium. RNAcentral's name for it is "bacterial SSU rRNA". It matches the Rfam family "Bacterial small subunit ribosomal RNA", at positions 355 to 774 of the family's 1533-position model. The record is from RNAcentral.